GGUCUGUUGGCCCAAUGGCAAGGCGUCUGACUACGAAUCAGGAGAUUGCAGGUUCGACCCCUGCACAGAUCA
Molecule: transfer RNA, 72 nt
Rfam family: tRNA
About the family: Transfer RNA (tRNA) molecules are approximately 80 nucleotides in length.
Source: Rfam